ACAAUAUUGCCUCUUUGGCUGCUCCUCUUCCAAAGGUAUAAAACUGUUAAACCUGCUUGAGCAUUCAGUUUUGAUUUUAUCAGACACUCUACAAUCAGAAUAUUAGGGUCAUAUUUAUCAGUUUUACUUGACUUGGACUACUUGAAACCAGUUAAUCAAAAUAUGCACUUGAACUUGCUUCCAUAAAAAUAGAUACAUCUCAUUAGUGAAUAUUCUAGUGUUAUUACUGAGAAAGUUAUGUCUUACUUUCUAUUAAGGAAAAGAGUUUUAUAUUUAAUGAAAAUAAUUUUUUUAUUGCAACAAAACUUCAAAGCAGGCGAGGUUCAUAUAUCCUACAAGAGCUGAUAGAAAAUGACGAUGCUAAAGACCAUUUCUAACUGCACUCCUGUAAGAAACAGGCAUGGAACCCAGCUUAAAAGUAGAUAUAUAAUUAUUUGGCCAACUUCAUAGAUAUCCAAGACCAUUUUAUGUUCUACAAUGCCAUUUCAAAUGUUUCACAGACCUAACAAGAGAGUUUUGAUUCAGCUGUUUAUUAUGAUUUGAAGUUUCAUUCAUUCAUCUAAGAAAGUUAUGAACACAGUAGAAUAUGCAUGGAGAACAUUGGGGAGCCCCAAAAAAACAACUCAUGUGAAGACGAAAUUAUAACUUACUAAGUUUCCUUGUCUAUAAUUCGAUACUUCAUGCAUUGAGGUCGGUUUCAUGAUCUCACCUGAAUAACUGUCAUUUGAUGAAAUUAGAACUUAUUAUAUCAAUUAGUUACUUAACUUUGGACCCAUUUGACUUAAAAAUAUGGUGACCAUCAUACCAUAAGUCCUCUUAGAACUAUUCUUCCAUUAAAAAAUUUUCACCCACUUUUUCUGUUGACAUUACAUUCAUAUUUUUUAUUUGCUAACGAUAUCUAUAUUCUAUGCUAAGGUUUUGGAUUUUCACUGUAGUAUUCCAUGUACUUGUUCAUAGUCUGUCCUUGUACUUGUUGAAUUGAUUAAUUUUGUUUCUCUUACGUUUUUGACCGUAGAGCUUACUGUGAUAGGUCAGCAGCUGCUGCAGUUCCAGUGACAAUGUGAUCAAUCGAAGUGCAUCGACAUCAAACCAGCAGAUAUCCUGUUGCCUGCCUGACCUUGUUGCCAUCAUUGAUCAAAUAUUCCAGUAUGCAAACUGUUCUUCUAUCACAAAGGAGGAGCUUGUGCAUAAAAUAAUUAUGAAUACACUUGACAUUGUUGAGAGAAGUAUGCACAAUUGUUUCUAAUCCUUUUUCUUUCUUUUAUAUAAGUACCCAUAUAUAGAAGUGUAAACGAUUUUUUGUUGUCUCUAUGAAGGAGAGGUCGAAGAACAGAUAGAGCAGCUUGAAAAGUUGGUUCCAGAUUGGAUUGGCAAGAAGUUGGCACCUAGUGGUGACAUCUUGUACAAGUGAGUCUAUCAUCUUCCUUAAUUGAUUGAAUGUUAGUAAUACUAUGUUGACAGUAGCUGUUUUUGUAGGGUUUUGCACCAUUUUGCAUUUUCAAGAACUACACUAGAUGAGUAUUUUGCUCUGCUAUGGUACAACUAAAAUCAAGGGGGAAGAUUUCCUAGGGAAGGUACCAUAGGGAGAGGGAACCUCCUAUCCCAUAUGUUUUGUAAUAGAAUGAGAAGGAAGGUAAGGGAAUAGAAGUAUUAUAUUAUAAUUUUACUAUUAUAACCACAGACAUUACUCACUAUAUAACUGAUGAGGAAUUAUGACCAGGGGAAAGUUACAUAUGAAAAUUACUCCCAGGGGACAGGUAGGUACCAUAGGGAAAGGGAGCCUCCUUUCCCUUCUGGUUUUUCGUAGAACUAGAAGGAAGGGAAGGAAAGUAGAAUAACGUUUAUUUUAUAAUAUUACUAUUAUGAUCAUAGACAUUACUCCCUUAUAACUUAUAAGAAAUUGUGCAUAAGGUAAUCAUAGAAGCCUCUCAGCUGAUAGCUCAUCAGAUCUUGCAGCUCCUGAUCUGGUCAUAGAAAGAAGGAGGGCAUCUUUCAAGCCUUUAUAAAAAAGGAGAAGUGUGCUGGAGCUGUUGGAUGUUGCUCAGUGCUGUUAUAACUCCUUUUCACUUCCUCCUUUACUUCCACGCCUAGAACCCAUCCACUAUACCUUCCUCCCAGACAAGGGCUUAGUGUGGCAAAAACCAAUAAUUGCGAGGUUAUUUAUAGAGUACACAUUGCUUUAGGGCUUCAAAACUGAUCAGAAAUAGAGUUGUCAAAAAUAAAAUAAAAUAAUAAAUAAACAACGAAAUUAGAUAUAAUGCAUAACUUAAGUUGUAGGGGAAUUUGAUUUGGUUAUUUAGUUUACAUGUCUGACUCCGGUCUUGCAAGUCUCAAUUGGAAUCAUAUAUUGAGAGAUUAUUAGGUUCUCACCUCAGUUUUCAGACGUCUAUUAUAAGUAUGGGUGUUCUUUGUCUGGUUUGAUUCUGAUAUCACCGAUUCACCAGCCUAAACUGGAACUGGAACUAGAACAUACUAACAUAUGUAUAUUAGUUCUCACUUCAGAGGCUACCAAACCAGCCUAAGCUCUUGGAUCUUAGCUGAUUCUUUCAUCCUUCCUCUCAAAGUAGUAGACUUUAUUCUGCAAUUUAGAAACAUUAUAAUUUUAAAUGCCUUUCUAAGAUGACAACAAUGAGAUUAUAUAUCAUGAAUGACAUGUUCUAACCAUACCAAGAUGCCAAAAGAAAGGGGGGGAAAGGUAGCAUAUCAUGGCAAGAAAAGGAAGUAUAAGCACAUUAGAAGUUGACUUGUAAUAGUACUAAUACAUUGUUGAAUUUCUCAAACCAAUUACUUUUGUUUGCACAAUCUCAAAGCAAACAAAGAAUAUUUUACCGAGUGUUCCCAACAAAUAAAAAAUGUUUUCCCACAUGGUUUUGGGGAUAAAAAUGUUGCAUGCAUAUUCUUUCUGUCCAUUAGCCGUCUAAUUUUUAAAUUUACACUUUUAAGUUAAAAACAACUAAAUUUACUUAUAAUACUCAUGAUUCACUAAUAUUUGUAAAAUCGGGUCGGCAUUUAGUUCUGUUCUUGGUUGGUUACAAAAAUAAUGCCAGUGCAAAACACGCAAAAGUUUCUCAUCAAGUGAUUAGUCAUUAGGUAGAGAGAAGCCCAUACUAAGAAGGAAGAGGUAGAGAGCUGAUUUGGCAUCAAUAGGACUUUCCACUUACUACUAAACUAACCCAAGAUGGUUAAGAAAUUCUCCACAUCUUUCCCUUGAUCUUGCUUAACCUUUUUAUUUUUCACUAUUCCCUCCAUUGGAAAGGGGAGAUAAACAUAUGGAGGGGAGAGGUUUUUUAACUUACUUAGGGAGUUGUACCUUAGAAAUGUCAAAUCAGCUGUCGACCUCAUUUUGUGAGUUACUUUUUGGGUAUCUUUGGUACCAUUUCAUCAUUUUUGUUGCACUGUGCUUUUAUAGGCUUCUUUAGUAGUCUAGUCUCAAAUAUUAAAAGAGAAGGAUUAUUAUUGAUAAUUAUGAUUGUUCUUACAAGAACGGUAAAGUUUUAAGAUUCUAGAACAGAGGAAAAUGCUGAAGACUUCGCGAUCUUAAAAUGCCCAAGGAAUAUGUGCCUCAUAUUUUGUUUUUAAUUUGAAAAUACUCUUCUAUCUUGCGAAACGAUGAUGUUGAAAUCCAUUGAUUUGAAAAGCAACAAUAAUUAUAUUGUGCUAUGUACUCUUCUUAUAUCUUACUAUCUUACUAUCAAUGAGGAACUUCUUUGAGAGCUACUUAUUCUUGUUCCUAUUCCAUGGCCCUGUUUUUGUUUUCUUAGCUUUAAAAUAAUACCAUAUUAUGAAUCUAGUAACGGUCUCCCGUUGUUUGCAGUAUCAAGAAAGUGUCAGAUUUGAAAUCAGUUUGUGAAAGGCUUAUUUGCAUCUAGUACUGAAGUUUCUCAAGGUAUACUCUAACUUGUACUUGGCAAAAUCUUGAGGAAAUAUUUCUGCUGCAAUGUUUUUUUCCUUUUUAAUUUAAGUUUUAUUGCCUUUAUCUUUGAUGGAAAAUCUAACUUUGUCAAGGCCUCUUUUUCCUUAAUUCUCUCUCUCUUAUUUGUUCUUUUUUGACAGAACUAAUUAGAAAAUCAGAUAUGAAGCAUAUAUGCGUGGACAGUAGGAAGAUAACCAUUUGGUUGAUUGCUAUCGCUAAGUACUCCAUGCAAACUGGAUGAUUAAAAAUAUGGAACUGCAUUUCUCUCGUCCCAGUUUCUCAAUCCUGGCUGAAUGUGAAUUUAUUGUUGAACCCUUUUGUAGUGAAUGUACUUUUACUGAAUUUGUCAUUGAACUAGAAGUGGUAAAAUGAGUACUUAAAUUAUUUCUCACAUUUUCUUUUUAUCUCAUCUUUGGAAUUUAUAUUUCUAUAAUUUUUUUAUCACUCUUUAAAAAGGUUUGUCACUUUUUACCUUUACCAAUGUUUUCAGAUCCGGAUUGGUUGUUGAACAAACGAAUAUUUCCGGAUACAGUAAAAAGAUAUUUCUGUCGUUUUUUAAUUACGAUAAUACUUCCGUUGUGGGGUUCACCAAUGAUUGUAUAGUCGUACAAAUAUUCUCCGACAAAAAGAAUAUUCUACGACCAAACGAAUAUUUUUGGACACAACGAAUAUUUUAUAACAACUUGCUUACUCAGCAAAAUUUUCAAAUAUCACCCUUAACUUUAAACUUUUAUCAAUGUAACGUUUUACUAAAUAGAAUAAUAAUUAUAAAAAAAUUAAAUACUUUCAUUUCAUAAAAUUCGAGAUCUCACAAUAAAUCAUAUAGGGUAAUGAUCCAUAACAUCUAUUUGCUAUAGAUUAAAAAAUAACAAAUAAUAUGUAAAGCAUUCAUAGCAAUAAUUAAGGUCCAGAUUAAAAAACGCAUCCCAGCUUUCGCUAGUUAUUCUAGUGGAUGGGAUAAAAAUUAUUUUUGAACAAUUAUAUCCCCGCUAAGCUAAGUUGACGCACGAGGGAAGUAAGCAAAAAAGCAUCACGUUCGCUAUAGCAAGUACUCUACAACAAUGUAAUUAAAGAAACAAUUGUUACUUUGCUUAUUGGAUUCGCAACAGGUGAAUAGAUCCAAACUUAGAACCUGAACAAAUGGUGCCACUGUAGCACUGAUAGCCAAUCCAUAUCUAGAACAAACGGAUUGUGGUAUAAUCUGUUCAUACAAAUUGAUGUAUCAAUUUCAGCAAGUAACUUGUAACAUUACCGUUUUCACUUUCACAACCCUUAUUCGCAGGGAGAAAUCGCAGCUCGCAGCAGCUCCAAUUCUCCAAUUCUCCAAUUCCCAAAUCCUUUUCACUUUCACGACCAGGGAGAAAUCGCAUCGCAGCUCGCCCAAUUCCUUUUCAUCAAUUUCUUUUUCUCAUUCACAGCAGCCAUAAUUCCCCAAUUCCUAAUUCUUUUUUUACUUUCACAACCCUAAUUCGCAGGGAGAAAUCGCAUCACAGCUCGCCCAAUUUCUUUUCCUUCUCACCAGUUUUUUUUCACUGAUGAUAUACAUUCGCUACACUCAAACUUUUAACUUCUGUUUAGAGCUACACUCAAACUUGUUACUUUCUAUGACAAGGGAGAUAGAUCUCUACCACUAGUCUAUCAUUUUUGGUCAAAAGUUAAAAAAUUAGAUUCUUAGAGCAUCUUUAGCAGAUCAGAAAAGUAUUAAAUAUAGUUUAGGACUCAGAUUUUA
This 5642-nucleotide long non-coding RNA is filed under the name Panax ginseng (ginseng). Its description in RNAcentral is "long non-coding RNA (PGIN_LNC005522)". Lineage: Eukaryota; Viridiplantae; Streptophyta; Magnoliopsida; Apiales; Araliaceae. The record is from RNAcentral.